AAGUGAAACCACACACACCAGUGAGCCGAGGAUUAGGAGGAGAGGCUCUUUCUCUCGAUGUAUUUUGACCCUGGAAUCAUGAGGACAGGGUGCAGGAAUGUCUUGAAUCCAAGACUGUGUUCUCUUUCAAGAGACAAUAAUAGCAACCUUGAAGUGGUGAAAAACAAGCAAUAACUGAUCAGAUCAAUGAAUUUCCUGUCUCGAUUUAGAGAGUAUUAAUCUCUCCGAUAUACAAACAUCAACUGAAAUGCCUCAUUAUGUAAAUCAAGCAUUCCCACUUUCCCCAUUUGGUCUCCUACGUUACAGCAAUAUUUGUCAUACACAAUGAUUAUGGCCACAGUUGGUAUAUUUGGUGAAAAAUUGGCCUUUAUUUCUUUAAUGAUAAUAUUUGUUUUGUGUGUAACACUGAUACAAACAACAGUGGUCCCUGCAGGACAAUGUGGACAUCAUGAAGAUCGACUUUCAAAUGUGCCUUCAAUAGUAAGUAAAGUAAAAAAGAAAGUUACAAUUGCACUGACAACUUUAAUAUAUAUAUAUAUAUAUACUUUAAAAAAACAUCAAAUUUGGGUAUAAAAAAGUGCAAAUGUGAAAGCUAAUACAUGUAUGCACGUAACACAUGACAAUAAAUGAGGUAUGGGAGAAGUGGCAAAGAGAUUAGGCUCACUAACUACUCAUGCAUCUGGGUAGAGUGAAACAGCUUCAGCACAGGGACAAAAAUAAUAAAACCAAUUCUUUAAUUCUUACUAAUUUAAGUCUAUAUUGCUGAGGGAAUUAUAAGGAACCUUUAAAGUUAUAUUCCUCAUUAUUGUCAUGAAAUCAAAUCCCUUUUUUAGAACUUGUUAUGCAUUCAAUCAAUCAGGACUACAAUCUUAAGGAUCGUAUAACUUGAAAUGAAUAACAAAUAAUCUAUGUCAAAAAUAACCACCAAAUGUAUGGUAUAUGCCUCAACAAACAUCCCAAACAUGUGUGUGUUUAUUAUGCAAUUAUGUGUGUGUAUAUGCCUCAAAAUGUAAACACUGGGGGGGAAAUAAAUAUCACCCAAAAUCUGGAUCUGAAGCCAAUGACUAAAUGAUUUAAAGUAAUUUGGCAAUUGUUGUUUGCAAGGUUAAGACAAGUAGUCUCUUAGAUGAUUGUCCUUUUAUCUAAAGAUGGAUCAACAUGAACCUAAUCCAUCCUCCAAUCAGAUCUUUGGCCACUGUACUCUCCCUGCUGUCUGACGCCUGUUUCACUUUACCCUCAACACAUUUCUGCCCAUCACAAAGGUAGUCAUGUAUGUUAAUAUGUUUUUAAAAGCUCACCCCAUCAUGCAAUUCAUCUUUUAAUAAAAAACAUAGAAUGCAUUAUUUAGUAAAUGUUUCUAAGAAGACAAGCUAAAUAACUGCUUGUAUAAA
Molecule: long non-coding RNA, 1391 nt
Organism: Notothenia coriiceps (black rockcod)
Lineage: Eukaryota; Metazoa; Chordata; Actinopteri; Perciformes; Nototheniidae
Exons: 2
Source: RefSeq, a predicted model, not a curated record